This 908-nucleotide long non-coding RNA is filed under the name Phaseolus vulgaris (common bean). RNAcentral describes it as "long non-coding RNA (PVUL_LNC001880)". The record is from RNAcentral. Lineage: Eukaryota; Viridiplantae; Streptophyta; Magnoliopsida; Fabales; Fabaceae.
GAAGUGUGGUAUUGAUUUAAAAAACAAAGUGUGGAAUGGACAAUGCAACAGUGCCUCAAGUUAUCACCCAACUCAUCUCCAACCGCUACAAUAAAUUGGUCAGAUAACGUUUUUAAGUGUUGUAUAAAUAUGCAAGCUUGAUCAUAUUUGAAAUUAAUAUAAGACAUUUUUUCAAACGAAGAAAACCGUUUUUAUGAUGACAAUUGUGACUCGUGUGAAAUUGUUUAUUUCAUAGAUGUAAUUCUCCAUCAAAUUAAUACACUUACUUUCAUUUUUUUUUUUCCUAUAUGACUCAUGAUUUUCUAAAUUUUAAUGCAAAAUGCAAAAACUUGUUUAUAAUAGUAAGACAUGCUGAAAAUUUUAGUUUUUUGGCUCUAGUUUACGAGGCAAUUUUUUUAAGCCUAGAAAAGAAAAACUUUUGUAUAUUCUAACAUCUGAAAAAUUUCAUUGGGUUAGUACAUAAUCCAUUCUAAGUACAUGUUUUUAGUAUAACUCAUGUUUGUUCUAGCUAUCACUGUUGUUUUGCGAUUUGAUACCAAUGCUAACUCACUGAAAAAUUAUAACAUUUUUUAAAUUAACCAAUGCUAACUCACUGGCCCAGUAUUCUCAUGUCACUCAUUAUGGAAUAAUACUAAAACAUUGAUACCAUAUAAUUAUUUUGUAGGGACACAAUUGUUGGAGGGAAGCAGAGUGUUGUGACGAGUUGUGGGUGUAGGGGUGAUAUUAAAAUUUGUAUAUAAAUAAUCAAUAACAGAAAGAAAGUUCUGUCGGUUAAAUAUUUAUCUCUGUGAGUGUUUAUUUUCUUGUUUUAGGAUUCAAGAAUUUGAUAGGGAAUAGGUGAUAUUGUAAGAUGUCUAAGUUUUAUGUCGUGUAUCGUGUAAUAUGAAACACUCAGUGCUAUAUUUAAG